RNAcentral lists this ribosomal RNA (429 nucleotides) under Gemmatimonadota bacterium. Its description in RNAcentral is "Gemmatimonadetes bacterium partial 16S ribosomal RNA". It matches the Rfam family "Bacterial small subunit ribosomal RNA", at positions 355 to 776 of the family's 1533-position model. Lineage: Bacteria; Pseudomonadati; Gemmatimonadota. The record is from RNAcentral.
UAGGGAAUCUUCGGCAAUGGACGAAAGUCUGACCGAGCAACGCCGCGUGAGUGAAGAAGGUUUUCGGAUCGUAAAACUCUGUUGUUAGAGAAGAACAAGGACGUUAGUAACUGAACGUCCCCUGACGGUAUCUAACCAGAAAGCCACGGCUAACUACGUGCCAGCAGCCGCGGUAAUACGUAGGUGGCAAGCGUUGUCCGGAUUUAUUGGGCGUAAAGCGAGCGCAGGCGGUUUCUUAAGUCUGAUGUGAAAGCCCCCGGCUCAACCGGGGAAGGUCAUUGGAAACUGGGAGACUUGAGUGCAGAAGAGGAGAGUUGAAUUCCAUGUGUAUCGGUGGAUUGCGUAGAUAUAUGGAGGAACACCAGUGGCGAAGGCGGCUGUCUGGUCUGUAACUGACGCUGAGGCUCGAAAGCGUGGGGAGCAAACAGG